GUGGGGAAUAUUGGGCAAUGGAGGAAACUCUGACCCAGCGACGCCGCGUGCGGGAUGAAGGCCUUCGGGUUGUAAACCGCUUUCAGUAGGGAAGAAGCGAAAGUGACGGUACCUACAGAAGAAGCACCGGCUAACUAUGUGCCAGCAGCCGCGGUAAUACAUAGGGUGCAAGCGUUGUCCGGAAUUAUUGGGCGUAAAGAGCUCGUAGGUGGUUCGUUACGUCGGAUGUGAAAAUCUGGGGCUCAACCCCAGACCUGCAUCCGAUACGGUCGAGCUAGAGUUUGGUAGGGGAGACUGGAAUUCCUGGUGUAGCGGUGGAAUGCGCAGAUAUCAGGAGGAACACCAAUGGCGAAGGCAGGUCUCUGGGCCAAUACUGACACUGAGGAGCGAAAGCGUGGGGAGCGAA
This 406-nucleotide ribosomal RNA is filed under the name actinobacterium SCGC AAA278-F04. RNAcentral describes it as "bacterial SSU rRNA". It matches the Rfam family "Bacterial small subunit ribosomal RNA", at positions 354 to 772 of the family's 1533-position model. Lineage: Bacteria; Bacillati; Actinomycetota; Actinomycetes. The record is from RNAcentral.